This 326-nucleotide small nuclear RNA is filed under the name Urocitellus parryii (Arctic ground squirrel). RNAcentral describes it as "7SK RNA (ENSUPAG00010000657.1)". The stretch from base 1 to 287 matches the Rfam family "7SK RNA". From Rfam's summary of the family: 7SK was discovered as an abundant small nuclear RNA in the mid-70s but a possible function has only recently been suggested. Two independent studies have found that 7SK RNA binds the CDK9/cyclin T complex (known as elongation factor P-TEFb). The record is from RNAcentral. Lineage: Eukaryota; Metazoa; Chordata; Mammalia; Rodentia; Sciuridae.
GAAUGUGGGGGCAAUCUGGCUGUGACAUCUGUCACCCCAUUGAUCACCAGGGUUAAUUCGGCUGAUCUGGCUGACUGAAGUGGGUGACUCCUUCCUUCUUCUCUGUCCCAUGUGCAUCCCUCCCAAAGCUGAGUGCUGGGUCCAAGAGGACCUUCCCCCAUAGAGGAGGACUGUUCUUCCAUCAAGAGUAUAGGAGUAGCUGCAUCUCCUGCUACAACCUCCAAACAAGCUCUCAAGAAAUAGGUUGACAUGAUUAUGGAGGGUGGCAAGUUCAAAAUCUACAGGGUGGGUUGGCGGGCUAGAGAUCCAGAUAGGUGCCAGUGUUG